RNAcentral lists this long non-coding RNA (687 nucleotides) under Salvia miltiorrhiza (redroot sage). RNAcentral's name for it is "long non-coding RNA (SMIL_LNC000522)". The record is from RNAcentral. Lineage: Eukaryota; Viridiplantae; Streptophyta; Magnoliopsida; Lamiales; Lamiaceae.
AUGCGAAAAAAUUAAAGAUUUUAGUUUUAAGCGACACUUUGUGUAGAAAUUUAAAGAUUUACCAAAAACAAUGACAUAAACAACAAAAAGUGAAAAAGUGAUCAGCGAAAAAAUGAUGAUAUUUCUGAUUGAAGCAACACAUUGUGUAGAUAUUCACAAAUCUGCCAAAAUAAUGCCAAAAAAACACACUGACAAGAAACAUCCACAUUAACAAGCAUACAAAUAAUUAUAUGGAGGACGCUAGAAUUUAAGAUGCAUACUAGGGAAGAAGCCGAGAUCUGGAGCCGUCGUUUGAAACCCGGACGGCGGCGGCUGGAUACGGGCUAUGCAGAAGGAGACGGCGGAGCAUUCGUUGUCGGCGAGGAAGGAGGCGACGCCGCGUGGAGCGACGCAGUGCCUAGAUGAGAGGGCGGAGUGGGUGGAUUGGGGAUGUAGGGCUUUACCACCGUUCUGUCGCGAAAUCAGAUAGGUCGAGGGAGAUGGGAUUAAGAAAUAGAGGGUGAGGCAGAGGGAGAGAGAUGAAGAUGGAGAGCAUCGGCAGCCGUGGCUUGUGGAGAAGACUUGAAUUGUAGAAAAUGUUUGGAGCGUUGAAUCUGGAAAGUGAGAACGGCGGAUUGUAAUGAGAUUAGGGUAGAAUUUUGGGAGAAGUGGAGAACACUCUAGAAUUCAAAGGCAGCGGCUGAAACC